CGAAAUGCGAUAAGUAAUGUGAAUUGCAGAAUUCCGUGAAUCAUCGAAUCUUUGAACGCACAUUGCGCCCUCUGGUAUUCCGGGGGGGCAUGCCUGUCCGAGCGUCAUUGCGAACCCCUCAAGCACGGCUUGUGUGAUGGGCCCUCCCGCGUCUUGGUCGUCAAGACGGGCCCGAAAUGCAGUGGCGGCUUCGCGGUUAUCCGAUCAGCCAGAGCGUAUGGGGACUCUCUCUCUUGUCACACGCCCGCGGCGCGGACCGACGCCUGUCGACCUUUAUUCAUCUUCUCUCGGUUGACCUCGGAUCAGGUAGGGAUACCCGCUGAACUUAAGC
This 331-nucleotide unclassified non-coding RNA is filed under the name plant metagenome. RNAcentral describes it as "partial contains 5.8S ribosomal RNA, internal transcribed spacer 2, and large subunit ribosomal RNA". The stretch from base 1 to 107 matches the Rfam family "5.8S ribosomal RNA", at positions 49 to 154 of the family's 154-position model. The record is from RNAcentral.